This is an RNA transcript of Capsella rubella, 2355 nucleotides long. It is a transcript of the gene named TSL-kinase interacting protein 1, with no coding region annotated. Lineage: Eukaryota; Viridiplantae; Streptophyta; Magnoliopsida; Brassicales; Brassicaceae. The transcript has 10 exons. The record is from RefSeq and is a predicted model, not a curated record.
UAUUCCCGCCUUGAUAUUUCACCCUCUCUCUGCUCUCUGCUCUUCUCUCGGAGAUUUUGUUUGUUCCGAUUUCGUCGAUCUCUGCUCGAAGAUUUUCUUCGUCUGCUAGCUCCGUCUUCUCUUGUUUAGUAAGAUUUGUAUCUCGCGUCUCUAACUAACCAGGUCGGUAAUUUUAAAAUCCUGUUCUCUCAGAGGUUUUGAAUUUUCGAUUUCUUUGCUUUUUCUCCACCGAUCGUGUUCAUCUGUUGCUUGAUUUCAGACGAAUUCGUAAGGUUUCUGAUCUAUAUGGUGGUCGCUAGGUCUCGAUUUGAAUUCGUUCAUGUCUGAUUGAUUUUUUUAUGCUAAGGAUUUCCGUUCGGUUGGAUCAUCGCGGUUUGGAAGGAUUUCUAGGGUUCCGAUCAGCAUGAGAAUGGCUAGAAAGAGGACUGAAACUGCAACUGAGAGACCAAAGGAGAUCAAAGCCAGAGGAAAAUUCACCAGAGCCAAGAAGUGUAUGAAAACGACUACUAAAAAAAUCCAUGAUUCUGGAAAACAUGCUAGUGGAAGAAAAGAGAAGUCCCCUUCUAAAUGUUCAGCUGAGCCUCCAUCUUCUUUGGAUCAAAGUUUGUUACAUACUCAAGACCGAGCUCAAAAAGUACCAGUCCUUGAUCUUCAUUCGAGCAAUAAGGUUCGAAGUUCUGAAAAAAUGAAGUUGCAGCUCUUUCCUUUGGAUGCUCAUACCCGUGAAGGAUUGGAAAAGGAUCGCUUUCACCCAUACCUGGAACUCACUCUUAGCUCACGAAAAAAGAUUUCUUCAGUGCUUCAACACAUUCACAGUAAGUGGGGCAGCUCAGAGAUUGCCCGGGGAGAGCCCACGUUGUACCCAUAUGAUAAACUAGUACUUGCUUCUGGUCGUAAAUGGAUAGCAAACAGCAACAUCACUACUGGUGCUGUCUAUCAAGCUAUUGGAGCUCCACCACUUUUCCGCUUAAGGUAUGGGUGGACUUCUGACAUUGAACAUAAAACCCAUGAACCGCCAUCUCCUUCAACUCCGGGUAUUGCUUGUUUUCAGAAUGAAGAACUACAUAACAAUGGUAAUAAGGUAGAGGUUGCCAGCUUUACUGGAAAGCAGAUGCUUGAUUUAGACAAUCCAUUUACAAUGCUGUCCUCUUCAAAUCAAGUGAAUAACAUGCCUCCCUUGGAAAACAUACUUCCCGAUGAACAAGUUGAGUCAAAGGAGAAUAAGAUAAACAAUGGAGCUGGCCCGACAUUGCUUUUUUGGGAUGAUGGAUUGACAAGCCUGAGUAUUGGUGGCUUGCUAUCAGAAGUAUCAUUGAAAGGAAACUUUGGGAGUCACUGUAAAAAUUCAAACGCAACUCUCUGGGAAGACAAUCUUACAAACGUAAGCAUUGGGGGUUUGUUUUCCGAGGCUUCUUUACAAGGCAGACGCAAUAUUAAACAUGAACAAGAACCAACUCAUUACAAUAAUAAUGGUCUGUCAACUGGAAGUAUUGGAGGCUUACUUUCUGAAGCAUCAUCAGUAGGAGAAGGAAGAUUUAGGGACUGUAACAACACAUGGGAAACAAAGAGAGCUAUCAGACAGCCACCAUUACCUCUAAUAUCUGAUUCAUUAAGUGCUUUCCUCGAGAAUCGAACAGAUAACCCUCGAGUACCAUGCCCUAAUCUUCCUCCUGAGCCGUCGCACUUGUCUAUACUCGAUGCAGAAGAUACAUGUCAUGCAUUUUCAUUUCGAAAGCGUACCACAACCUCACCGAAGGUUCACGAGCAGGUAAGUGGAAAAGCCGAGAAGGAGCAACAGAAAGAUGAAUCGAAACCUGCAAAACCAGUAUUUGGUUCCAUGGUGUUUGAUCAGGACAGCAGCCUCGGAUUUUCAGGAAUCAAGUGGGCUGAGUCACGGGGACCAUUCGAUUUUGGUUUAUCUUUAUCUCGAAAGUUUACUAAUGGAGACAGUGUAAGCUUCGGUGCUGUAGUAAAAGAUCUGCAGGAAAUGGAGCCUUUAGAAGAGAAAAUAUAGCUUAAAAAGCAUUGAAACCCAUGAACAAUAACUACUCCACAGGAAAGGUAAAUAGUAAACAAGUUUUAUAGGAUCUGAAGAUCCUUUUGACAUACAAAGAGGAAUUUGUCUCUACUCAAAAUAUAAAGAUGUACAUGAAGCCACAUAUUUUCCCAUGCGUGUGCUCUGCAGAACACGAUAUGUUAUAGUAUCUGUGUUCAUUAAGGAUUGCUGUCAAUAAUAUUGCAUACCACUGAAAUUUUCAACCUAAAAUUAAAUAUUUGUACGAAACAACUAAGGACACAAAAGUAUCUAAACACAUCUUGUUUAGGUACCACCGUAAGUACUCUUGUUAUCUAUAA